GACGAACGCUGGCGGCGCGCUUAACACAUGCAAGUCGAACGGAAAGGCCUGCUUUCCCUUGUGGAUUGCGGGUACUCGAGUGGCGAACGGGUGAGUAACACGUGAGUGAUCUGCCCCCAACUUGGGUAUAAGCCUGGGAAACAGGGUCUAAUUCCCGAUAGGACUGCAGGGUGGUGCCUGUGGUGGAAAACGAUUUUCUAGUGGUUGGGGAUGAGCUCGCGGCCUAUCAGCUUGUUGGUGGGGUAAUGGCCUACCAAGGCGGCGACGGGUAGCCGGCCUGAGAGGGUGGACGGCCACAUUGGGACUGGGAUACGGCCCAGACUCCUGCGGGAGGCAGCAGUGGGGAAUAUAGCACAAUGGGCGGAAGCCUGAUGCAGCGACGCCGCGUGGGGGAUGACGGCCUUCGGGUUGUAAACUCCUUUCGACCGCGAGGAAGCCACCUGGUUGGAAGGGUGGUGACGGUAGUGGUAGAAGAAGCACCGGCUAACUACGUG
RNAcentral lists this ribosomal RNA (494 nucleotides) under uncultured bacterium. Its description in RNAcentral is "partial 16S ribosomal RNA". It matches the Rfam family "Bacterial small subunit ribosomal RNA", at positions 28 to 507 of the family's 1533-position model. The record is from RNAcentral.